RNAcentral lists this ribosomal RNA (490 nucleotides) under uncultured bacterium. Its description in RNAcentral is "partial 16S ribosomal RNA". It matches the Rfam family "Bacterial small subunit ribosomal RNA", at positions 29 to 507 of the family's 1533-position model. The record is from RNAcentral.
AGUGAACGCUGGCGGUAGGCCUAACACAUGCAAGUCGAACGGCAGCACAGGAGAGCUUGCUCUCUAGGUGGCGAGUGGCGGACGGGUGAGGAAUACAUCGGAAUCUGCCCAGUCGUGGGGGAUAACGUAGGGAAACUUACGCUAAUACCGCAUACGACCUUCGGGUGAAAGAGGGGGAUCGCAAGACCUCUCGCGAUUGGAUGAGCCGAUGUCGGAUUAGCUAGUUAGCGGGGUAAUGGCCCACCAAGGCGACGAUCCGUAGCUGGUCUGAGAGGAUGAUCAGCCACACUGGAACUGAGACACGGUCCAGACUCCUACGGGAGGCAGCAGUGGGGAAUAUUGGACAAUGGGCGCAAGCCUGAUCCAGCCAUACCGCGUGGGUGAAGAAGGCCUUCGGGUUGUAAAGCCCUUUUGUUGUGAAAGAAAUCUUUCAGGCUAAUACCCUGGGAGGAUGACGGUACCCAAAGAAUAAGCACCGGCUAACUUCGUG